UUAACUAUUAUAUAGUACUCUGACGACAGUGAUAAAGGUUUUAGUUUCCUCUGUCCGGCGCUGACCAGCCCGAAGGCCGGCGGACCCGAGGGUCGGGCCAGACAAAGCAACAAUGUUUGGUUAACAAAGGGUGGGAGAUCUACCCGUUAGGGCAAGUUCUCAUUAAUGAUCCCUCCGCAGGUUCACCUACGGAGA
Molecule: unclassified non-coding RNA, 195 nt
Filed under: uncultured fungus
Lineage: Eukaryota; Fungi
Description: sequence contains ITS1
Source: RNAcentral